UACAGAGGUCUCAAGCGUUGUUCGGAUUCAUUGGGCGUAAAGGGUGCGUAGGCGGCGCGGUAAGUCGGGUGUGAAAUCUCGGGGCUCAACCUCGAAACUGCACUUGAUACUGCGGUGCUUGAGGACUGGAGAGGAGACUGGAAUUCAUGGUGUAGCAGUGAAAUGCGUAGAGAUCAUGAGGAAGACCAGUGGCGAAGGCGGGUCUCUGGACAGUUCCUGACACUGAGACACGAAGGCCAGGGGAGCAAACGGG
Molecule: ribosomal RNA, 253 nt
Filed under: uncultured bacterium
Lineage: Bacteria
Description: partial 16S ribosomal RNA
Rfam family: Bacterial small subunit ribosomal RNA
Source: RNAcentral